UUUGAAAUUUUUGGAUUAACUGGAAAACUAUGGAAUAGCUUCACUCAAACUUAUAAUAUAAGUUUUACAGUUAUCAGACCAAGUGAUGGGUUAUGGGGUCUCAAAGUGAACGGUUCGUGGAAUGGUAUGAUCGGUAAAGUAUUUACAAAUAUAUGUCAACUAAGUUUGGGUCCCUUUGAAUAUAUGUCCGACCGCUUGGAAGCAAUUAAUUAUACAAAUAGUUUAUUUACGGACUUAAAUACCAUUAUCACAACUGCCAAUACCAUA
Oppia nitens is the source of this 267-nucleotide long non-coding RNA. RefSeq lists it as uncharacterized. The transcript is spliced from 3 exons. The record is from RefSeq and is a predicted model, not a curated record. NCBI's taxonomy places the organism in Eukaryota, Metazoa, Arthropoda, Arachnida, Sarcoptiformes, Oppiidae.